CCUACGGGAGGCUGCAGUAGGGAAUCUUCCACAAUGGGCGAAAGCCUGAUGGAGCAACGCCGCGUGGGUGAAGAAGGUCUUCGGAUCGUAAAACCCUGUUGUUAGAGACGAAAGUGCGUGAGAGUAACUGUUCACGUUUCGACGGUAUCUAACCAGAAAGCCACGGCUAACUACGUGCCCGCAGCCGCGGUAAUACGUAGGUGGCAAGCGUUCUCCGGAUUUAUUGGGCGUAAAGGGCACGCAGGCGGUCUUUUAAGUCUGAUGUGAAAGCCUUCGGCUUAACCGGAGUAGUGCAUUGGAAACUGGGAGACUUGAGUGCAGAAGAGGAGGGUGGAACUCCAUGUGUAGCGGUGAAAUGCGUAGAUAUAUGGAAGAACACCAGUGGCGAAAGCGGCUCUCUGGUCUGUAACUGACGCUGAGGUUCGAAAGCGUGGGUAGCAAACAGGAUUAGAUACCCCAGUAGUC
RNAcentral lists this ribosomal RNA (465 nucleotides) under uncultured bacterium. Its description in RNAcentral is "partial 16S ribosomal RNA". It matches the Rfam family "Bacterial small subunit ribosomal RNA", at positions 338 to 795 of the family's 1533-position model. The record is from RNAcentral.